UGGGGAAUAUUGCACAAUGGGCGAAAGCCUGAUGCAGCAACGCCGCGUGAGCGAUGAAGGCCUUCGGGUCGUAAAGCUCUGUCCUCAAGGAAGAUAAUGACGGUACUUGAGGAGUAAGCCCCGGCUAACUACGUGCCAGCAGCCGCGGUAAUACGUAGGGGGCUAGCGUUAUCCGGAAUUACUGGGCGUAAAGGGUACGUAGGUGGUUUCUUAAGUCAGAGGUGAAAGUCUACGGCUCAACCGUAGUAAGCCUUUGAAACUGGGGAACUUGAGUACAGGAGAGGAGAGUGGAAUUCCUAGUGUAGCGGUGAAAUGCGUAGAUAUUAGGAGGAACACCAGUUGCGAAGGCGGCUCUCUGGACUGUAACUGACGCUGAGGCACGAAAGCGUGGGGAGCAAACAGG
RNAcentral lists this ribosomal RNA (403 nucleotides) under bacterium. RNAcentral describes it as "partial 16S ribosomal RNA". It matches the Rfam family "Bacterial small subunit ribosomal RNA", at positions 355 to 776 of the family's 1533-position model. The record is from RNAcentral.